GUCAACGCAUCAUUUUGGCUCCACGUUUCGUAGAUUUGCAUGGAUAGAUGUGCGCAAAUCCUUAUACAUGCUAGAACUCCAUUGUUGACCUAUGUUCCCGCAAUGUUCGGCCGUAGUGUCGUUUUUGAAGCGGAAAGCCUAGAAACACGCAUAUUUCUCACACAGAUAGUGAAGUUAGGAGUGUAUUUCAGACUUUCCUGACGCGCUCAUCGUAAUUUUUGAGCCAUUUUCUCCAAGAAAUAACUCUUCUUUUAGCUCUAGCUGAAGUUUGCAACAGGCUCAUUCUUUUCUCACGAGGUUAAGGUUAGGUAAAUUUAGGUUAAAUUAAGGUAAGGGUGCAAGUAUUCACGGUACGAUUGCGUUUACGUAGGUCCACACUGUAUUUCGAAGCCGGAGUGUACUGGGUGGAGGAUAGCAACGGUGUCCUCGGGAAGAGUCACAUCAAACUUCACCCGAACACCAACUUCGUCUACUUCGAGCCGGGGACCUACAUCAAGGGGGCGCUCGAGUACACGACCGCCAAAGACUUCUUCACCGUCGGCCACGGCGUCCUCUCCGGCGAGAACUACGCCUACCAAGCCAACACGCUCCAGGGCUACGUUUCCAGCAAGGAUGACAAGUCCAGUCUCAGACUUAUCUCGCACCAGGCGGUGAGCGACAACCAGACGUGGACGUGCGUGGGCGUAACGCUCAACGCUCCGCCGUUCAACUCGGUGGACCUCUUCCCGAGAGAGGCGACCAAUCACGAGGAGGACAACAGGGUGAGGAUCCGGGUCGAGGACUACAAGCAGGUCGGGGCUUUCUACUUCCAGACGGAUGGCUUGCCCGCCUACGGAGGCUCCAUCACCUCCGUCUUCCUCCACGCCAACGACGACGCCCUCAAGCUCUACUACUCCGACGCCCACGUCACCGACGUCGUCGUCUGGAAGGUGCACAACGACCCGGUGAUCCAGCUGGGUUGGAAGCCGCGGAACAUCUCGAACGUGGUGGUGGAGACGGUGGACGUGAUCCACAGCCGGUGGGCGUUCUCGCAGACGGCGGUGCCCUCGGCGAUCAUCGGGGCCUCGCCGUACUACAUGGACCCGAAGCUCGUGGACGCCGGGCGGACCGUCUCGGCGGUGGUGCGGAACCUCCGCUGCGAGGGGAAGUGCGCCGCCCUCCUCCGCAUCGCCCCGAUGAACAACUACGACCUCCGCAUCGAGACGGUGCGCUUCGACGAGCUCCUCGCCGACGACCGCGCCCGGCUCGGCAUGAGCCUCGUCGGCACCAAGAUCAGCGACCACGAGGAUGCCUACGUCCAGGGACAGGAGGUCCUCCGGAUGGGCAUCUACGUCCGGGAUUGGCUCAUCGGCGGCCGGAGGGUCUGCGCCGACAACUGGCGCUCCGAGGAGCUCGGACAGCUCAACUUCAACGUCGGCUUUUGGGGACAGUGGAGCAUCGAUUGAACCUUGCGAGCUUCCAGGUUCUUCGUGUACACCUCGUCCCCAAAAUACAGUAUUCUCUUGCUAUAACGACACUCAUAUGGACGUAUUUAUGCGAAAAGGAGAAAUGUGGAAGUGGAAAGAUGGGGUGUGCUCGUUAGUGGUCGGGCCAUAAGAAUGAAUGGGGAAUAUAAAGCGCCAGUGACGUCAGCGGCAAUGAUCAAGCGCCGCAACGACGGGGAGUCCGUUGGCGUGACUCUUUAAUUCAUGAGCCCUGUCCACAACGCUCUCUUGCCAUGCCCGCGGCUCAUGAGUUAGCAUAUUUUGCCGCUUAGCUCCUUUUGAUUUAAUGUCAAAUCCCGCUUUUCAAUUUUCUCAAAAGGAACUAUAUCCACUUUUACAUUGUUUCUUAUGACCCAACUAACGAGCACACCCCAUCAUUCCACUUGCAUAUAUCUCCUUUUCGCAUAAAUACGUCCAUAUUAUAACGAAAAUCUCUUUUGGCGAAGGUAUCGCCCUUAUGACGACACUCAUUAUAACGAAAAUCUCUUUUGCGAAGGAAUCGCCCGGUUCCUUGAACGAUUUUCCGGCUAUAAUGAAAAUCUCUCUUUUGCGAAAGAAUCGCCCGGUCCCUUGAACGAUUUUCCGGCUAUAAUGAAAAUCUCUCUUCUGCGAAGAAAUCGCCGGUCCCUUGAACGAUUUUCUCGCUAUAACGACACUUAUUACUUCAACAGCUUACGUAGUAGCGAUUCUUGAAUAUUGGCAACACCGUUUUCCGUCAUUUAAAUAUAUGUAAAAUUAUCGAUUGUUUUACUUAUAUCGAUUACAUACAAUCGAUUAUUUUACAUAUAUUUAAAUGUCGGAAAAACGGUGUUGCCAAUAUGCAAGUAUCGCCACUACCUAAGGGUUCCCUCAUCAUUACUACCUUUUAACGAAACCGUUUCGAUAGCUCACCAGGUAUCGAUAGGACAUCCCUACCGUCUCGUCUGCUCACAAUUGAAUAUUUAAAAAAUAUUCUGAGCACGUUUUUCAGGACAGGAGACUUUCUAAGAAUAUUAUCCGUAAAAUUCUCAGAAAAUGCUUUAUUUUUCCUUCUGGAAAAUAAUAAAAUGUUCGUCUGGAUGUUUUGAGCACAUUCGCAGAAAUUAAUGGAUAAACGCGACCGAAUUGGAUGAAUAUGUCUACUGCACAUAAUUGAUACAGUCAUCGGAAUAGACAUUCGUAGUUCAAUUUGAAACUACUCCCAACUCAUUUUUUCCCAAAACUCAACUUGUCGCGUAUCUAUGGAACUCAGUCCAACUUUCCGAGAAACCAAAAAGUUUUCGGCCGAAUGAAACGGGCAUCGUGGUAUACCUCAGAAUGAUAGUAGGUCACUUUACCCCACGAAAAAGUUGCCUGUUUAUCUUCCAUUCUUCUAUUAAUGUAUUUAUUUAUUAAUUUUAUGACCAAAGCUUUGAAAAUUGCCACCAAAUAAUUCUCAGCUGUCUUCGCACUCUGCGCUGAAGUACUUUUUGACAUGAGCUAUUGAAACUCUAGCUCCGGGUAUAGUUAAUUUUGAAAAAAUCAGAAUUUUGUAAUUAACCAUUAGUACCUCAUCAAUAUUGACCCAUACAUGUAACAAUAUCCUUGCCAUGAAGUUGAUUUUUGCAGCAAAGACUUCCUCAUAUUUUCUUCAACGCUGUAAAAGUUUCAUUUGUUACCUCAUUCUAAUUAAAUAGAGAUGUUAGUACCUAUGGUGUGCAUGAGGUAUCAGUACUUGUUUAUCUCGCGAAAAAUACUCGUGCAACAGCGCAAAAGUACUCGAAAAUUUUUCCAUGACUUACUGUCGGACUGUGUAGGCUACCUUUAAAUCAUGAUUCAUAAAAAUUCUCGGAUUCUUGUACGAGAUGAAAGAAAAUUCUAAACCUAAAAAAUAUUCGAAAAUGUCGUCUAGUUUUAUUUUCCACUGCCCUUGACAAUAAGUCAAAUUUCAGGUAAUUUCCGGAAUUUCCAAGAAUUCUCUUCAACUAUGAGAUCACUCUAAAAAUCAACACAUUGUUCUGAAUUUUGACGUCGCAGAAGACAAAAGUAGCGGCAUAGUACCAAAUAAUUAGUUCUCCUCAAAAAUGAUACCUCCAGGCUCCGUACAUUGGAUCUGCGAAAACUCAUGCAUACUGUACUUGGAUGCGGGUUGAGGUUUAUGGCUGAAAGGAAAUUACUUCCACCAGUCACUUUUCCGAAAAAAAAAAUAAUGAUGAGCCAAAAAAAAAAAAGGAAGCCGAGGUCGUGUCGGGAGCUCAUCAUAAAAUGUAUCUGUUAGUGAUGUCAUGAGACAACGCUUUAGAGGCCCGUUUUGAGGUCACGGGUUUAUACAGUUUUUCUGACCUCGUCAUAUAUUCUCGUUGCAAAAGUACUUAACGAAUAGUCGAUCGAAGUUUGAAAUUAAAUUCCACCUCUUUGUAACACCUCCAAUCGGGUGUAUUAUCCAAACUGUUAUACUUAAAAUCCUACGGUCGGCAAACGGUUCGAUAGUCUUCGUAAAAAACGUUUACGAAUAAUUUAGUUCGACACACAUUUAGACGCAAUUUCGUCCAAUUUAAGAUUAGAUUAUGUAAAUUUCUAACGUGGGCUCUCUAAAUUCCCUGGAACUGGUAAAUCCUAAGUGAGUGCCGCUCAGAAUUGUAUUUUAGGUCCAGAUUAAAUACUUAUUAUUUUCAAUUUUUAAAGUGCCAAAUUCUUUAUUUUUGGAAAAGUUUCUCGCCCUUCAAUAUGACACGGAGUCAGGCAGAAUGGGCCUUAAGGCGGAGGAAAGAGGGUAAUAAUUAACGCAGUUGAGAGAGGUUAACUCUGCAUCAUUUGGCGCAACACCUUAACUCCACAUUGUGACCUACGUGAGCACAGUUCAAGGAUGAGAACAUAAACGAAGAAUUGGAGAAAAUCUCUUGGAGUGUGCCAGCGAUGUCACUAGGUUCUGACAUAAUUGAUUUAAAAUUCUAAGUAAUAAAACAUCACUUUAAAUCGAAAAUAUGACCUGAAAUAUCGACCCAAAAUUAGGGAAGCAUUAUAGGAAGCGUUCAUCGUUGCUCUAAGAAAAAUUUCCUGUGGAUCUAUUGGAAUUCCUGUUAAAUCUGCCUUUCCUCUGAAAGGAGUCCCUCGUUGAAACAACUGGAAAUCUCCUUGUCCCAAACAGUAUUCCAAUUAUUUUUAGGGACGUUCGGUUGCUUUAAAAAGGUUUACGGUUCUUUUUACGCGAAUUGGCGGAUAAUUGGCGUAUGUAAGAGGACAAUUUUUCUCAGUGUGAGAACUGAAAAUCUACAUUUUUCACCCCUAUCAGGUUUUCCUUUGUACUCAUCAAUUUGAAAUCUCACCCUAAAACAUUUUGUGUGACCCUAUCAGAAGCAGAAAAAUACUUCAUUUCUCAAAAAAAUUGUGUUGUACUUCUUAUUUCUGGUGUCUAAGAUGAGUCAGCGCCUUUGUGAUAAAAUACUUUACAUUUUUAUACAUCUUAGGUUACAUUACGUUUAAGUUUUUUGUGCAUUCCAUUAUGCAGUAAACUUGUGUUAUGAUACAUGCCGGUAAAUAUUUAUUACAUAUUUAUUUUUCUGUAAAUAUGAUACGAUUUUCUAAGAUGCAUAUACCUAUCGUGAUCGGAGGCUCAUUUGGACCGCGUUUAGCAGAAAGGAACCAAGCCACAUCAGCCACUGCUAAAUUUAAUCGGGCAAUUUAAUUUUUUGCAAGAGAACGUUUGUGCGGCUUAUUCUUUCGAACAAUUUAAGGAAUUUGCUUCGUACUGUACAGAAAAUUUACUGGAAUUUGCAUAAAAAUCCGCAUUACCGUUUUUAUUUUAACGAUUAAAUUGCCCAAUUCAAUUUGCAAUAGCUUACGUGGCUUUGUUCCUUUUGCUUAAUGCAGUCCAUUUUUCACUAUUUAGUCAAGCUCGAUCUCGUCUCAGGAACGGAACCUUUUCACAUGUUCUGAGUAUUAAAAUUGUAGUAGCUAUUUUCUGUUCGCACGUUCGUGUCUUCACUACUCGUUCAAUUUUGAAAUUUUGUCUCGUUUUGAAAAAUGAUUGUUCGUUUUGUCAGAUUUUGUACAUAAAAACCGUAAAGGGUCUAUUUGUUUUCAACUUGUGAAAAUAAAACCGGAUGAUUGAGAAUGGCUCUAUUAUGGAAACUAUUAUUACGUCACCUUCCCAAUUUCUCAUCAAUCGAAUCGUAGACAUUAAAGAACAGCUGAGCUAACCUCAUAUACGGGCAGGUGCAAAUCGCGCUACUAGAAAGGUCACAGAACAGGGUCAAUCAUCAAGCGGACCAUGCCCCUAGCCACCUACACUGCCGUGCUAAGGAAAAACGCUGUAUGAACCUUCAUGCGUUGCCAAAUUUCCCUUCACAAAAGCGAAUUUCCAGGUAAAUAUAUGAAUAUUUUCCUCCCAGUUUUUCAGAUAAUUUAGUUCACAAUUUUACCUAUAGAUUCUGAAACUUUAAAGGAAAAAUAUUCAGAACUUUCCUCAAAAAUGAACAUUUUAUCGAAGGAAAUUUGGCAACUCUCGAAUGUUCAUACGGCGUUUUUCCUUAGGAUGACAGUACAGCCCAGCGUUUACGAAACAGUCGACAACGUUGGGAAGAAAAGAUGUUCAAUUUUUUUUUUUUUCACUCGAAAAUUUAGCGAAAAAUUGUCUCUGAUUCAACGGCAAUUUAUUUCGCUGAAUUUUUUGUUUCUCCAUUCGGAGGAAAAUUUCUCCAUCAUAUUCCAUGAGUGAUUUUUUUUCUUUCCUCCAUUAUUCGAACGUGGUUUUUAUUUUCUAGCCCGAGCCUUUAUUUUCGUCAUCAACGAUAAAGUUAAAUUUUUUCUUUGAUUUUUAAAGAUUAGAAAUUUUCCACUCAAAAGUGCUUUCCUUCGAAGAAAAGAAAACACUUUUCUAAACCAAGACAAUUUUUUCGCUGAUCUCCAUGAAGGUGUAUCCCCGGAGCAUGG
This 6374-nucleotide long non-coding RNA is filed under the name Bemisia tabaci. RNAcentral's name for it is "lncRNA ENSSSA3NGG000857". The record is from RNAcentral. Lineage: Eukaryota; Metazoa; Arthropoda; Insecta; Hemiptera; Aleyrodidae.